GAUGAACGCUGGCGGCGUGCCUAAUACAUGCAAGUCGAGCGAACGGACGAGAAGCUUGCUUCUCUGAUGUUAGCGGCGGACGGGUGAGUAACACGUGGAUAACCUACCUAUAAGACUGGGAUAACUUCGGGAAACCGUAGCUAAUACCGGAUAAUAUUUUGAACCGCAUGGUUCAAAAGUGAAAGACGGUCUUGCUGUCACUUAUAGAUGGAUCCGCGCUGCAUUAGCUAGUUGGUAAGGUAACGGCUUACCAAGGCAACGAUGCAUAGCCGACCUGAGAGGGUGAUCGGCCACACUGGAACUGAGACCCGGUCCAGACUCCUACGGGAGGCAGCAGUAGGGAAUCUUCCGCAAAGGGCGAAAGCCUGACGGAGCAACGACGCGUGAGUGAUGAAGGUCUUCGGAUCGUAAAACUCUGUUAUUAGGGAAGAACAUAUGUGUAAGUAACUGUGCACAUCUUGACGGUACCUAAUCAGAAAGCCACGGCUAACUACGUG
RNAcentral lists this ribosomal RNA (497 nucleotides) under uncultured bacterium. RNAcentral's name for it is "partial 16S ribosomal RNA". It matches the Rfam family "Bacterial small subunit ribosomal RNA", at positions 28 to 507 of the family's 1533-position model. The record is from RNAcentral.